UACGGAGGGUGCAAGCGUUGUCCGGAAUCACUGGGCGUAAAGGGCGCGUAGGCGGCUCAUGAAGGCUGUGGUGAAAGUCCGGGGCUCAACCUCGGAUCGGCCGUGGCGACUCGUGGGCUGGAGCACUGUAGAGGCGGGUGGAAUUCCGGGUGUAGCGGUGGAAUGCGUAGAGAUCCGGAAGAACACCGGUGGCGAAGGCGGGUCUCUGGGCAACAACUGACGCUGAGGAGCGAAAGCGUGGGGAGCGAACAGG
This 253-nucleotide ribosomal RNA is filed under the name uncultured bacterium. RNAcentral describes it as "partial 16S ribosomal RNA". It matches the Rfam family "Bacterial small subunit ribosomal RNA", at positions 524 to 776 of the family's 1533-position model. The record is from RNAcentral.